This 465-nucleotide ribosomal RNA is filed under the name uncultured bacterium. RNAcentral describes it as "bacterial SSU rRNA". It matches the Rfam family "Bacterial small subunit ribosomal RNA", at positions 338 to 795 of the family's 1533-position model. The record is from RNAcentral.
CCUACGGGGCGCAGCAGUGGGGAAUAUUGCACAAUGGGCGCAAGCCUGAUGCAGCCAUGCCGCGUGUAUGAAGAAGGCCUUCGGGUUGUAAAGUACUUUCAGCGGGGAGGAAGGCGAUAAGGUUGAUAACCUUGUCGAUUGACGUUACCCGCAAAAGAAGCACCGGCUAACUCCGUGCCAGCAGCCGCGGUAAUACGGAGGGUGCAAGCGUUAAUCGGAAUUACUGGGCGUAAAGCGCACGCAGGCGGUCUGUCAAGUCGGAUGUGAAAUCCCCGGGCUCAACCUGGGAACUGCAUUCGAAACUGGCAGGCUAGAGUCUUGUAGAGGGGGGUAGAAUUCCAGGUGUAGCGGUGAAAUGCGUAGAGAUCUGGAGGAAUACCGGAGGCGAAGGCGGCCCCCUGGACAAAGACUGACGCUCAGGUGCGAAAGCGUGGGGAGCAAACAGGAUUAGAUACCCGUGUAGUC